ACUGGAUUUGGGUGCCCCAGCACUUUGCACCCUUUUCUUGUUCUUCUUGUUCUUCUUUCCUUUCUUAAAGGAUUGACGUCUAGAAGAAGACCCUCCCACAAUAUUCACUGACUCUUUUUUGAGCUGGUGAUCUUUCUCAAAGUUUUAUAGUAAUCCCAGCAAAUCGUGGUAGUUAAUUGCAUACUUUGUCAUUCAAAAAUGAGUAAGGA
Molecule: long non-coding RNA, 209 nt
Filed under: Elaeis guineensis (African oil palm)
Lineage: Eukaryota; Viridiplantae; Streptophyta; Magnoliopsida; Arecales; Arecaceae
Description: long non-coding RNA (EGUI_LNC055772)
Source: RNAcentral